Molecule: transfer RNA, 78 nt
Filed under: Fibroporia radiculosa
Lineage: Eukaryota; Fungi; Basidiomycota; Agaricomycetes; Polyporales; Fibroporiaceae
Rfam family: tRNA
About the family: Transfer RNA (tRNA) molecules are approximately 80 nucleotides in length. Their secondary structure includes four short double-helical elements and three loops (D, anti-codon, and T loops).
Source: Rfam by way of RNAcentral
UCCGAUAUGGUGUAACGGCUAACAUUGCCGCCUUUCAAGAGGGCGCGGCAGCUCGGGGUUCGAUUCCCCGUAUCGGAG